This 292-nucleotide ribosomal RNA is filed under the name uncultured bacterium. Its description in RNAcentral is "partial 16S ribosomal RNA". It matches the Rfam family "Bacterial small subunit ribosomal RNA", at positions 775 to 1067 of the family's 1533-position model. The record is from RNAcentral.
GGAUUAGAUACCCUGGUAGUCCACGCCGUAAACGAUGUCUACUAGCCGUUGGGAAACUUGAUUUCUUAGUGGCGCAGCUAACGCGAUAAGUAGACCGCCUGGGGAGUACGGCCGCAAGGUUAAAACUCAAAUGAAUUGACGGGGCCCGCACAAGCGGUGGAGCAUGUGGUUUAAUUCGAUGCAACGCGAAGAACCUUACCAGGUCUUGACAUCCCGAGAAGUUACUAGAGAUAGUUUCGUGCCUUCGGGAACUCGGUGACAGGUGCUGCAUGGCUGUCGUCAGCUCGUGUCG